Molecule: transfer RNA, 80 nt
Filed under: bacterium
Lineage: Bacteria
Description: tRNA-Leu
Rfam family: tRNA
About the family: Transfer RNA (tRNA) molecules are approximately 80 nucleotides in length. Their secondary structure includes four short double-helical elements and three loops (D, anti-codon, and T loops).
Source: RNAcentral
GGGACGUGGCGAAAUGGCAGACGCGCCAGACUUAGGAUCUGGUUCCUCACGGAGUAAGGGUUCAAGUCCCUUCGUCCCCA